CAGGCCUUUGCAGGCCAAGGAGAAAGAAAAGAAACAAGAGCUUCAUAUUUUCCUGAUGCUGUCCUGGAAGAGAAAUAAUAAGAUAGCUUUGCUUCACAUUCUGGAACAAGUGGCUUGCUCUCCUGAGCAGGGACAGGAAUUCCUGUCCUAAAGUUGGAUGACAUCUGGCUGGAACCAUAAGAUGUGUGCUGUGACAGAAACCAGAGCAGCUGGCAAUCUGGGAACUGGAACUGUCUUCGUCGAUUUUGAAUAUUUGGUCACCUUAUCUGAGAUUACCCAUAAACUCACUUUUUUUAAGUCUCUCUGAAGGCAGCUUUUAUUGUGUAAUUUAAAAAGAAUUUUUUUAUGUUUUUUAAUGAUCUGGGUUAAUUUUAAACAAGGAUUUAU
Molecule: long non-coding RNA, 387 nt
Filed under: Homo sapiens (human)
Lineage: Eukaryota; Metazoa; Chordata; Mammalia; Primates; Hominidae
Description: HSALNT0218423
Source: RNAcentral